Molecule: ribosomal RNA, 468 nt
Filed under: uncultured bacterium
Lineage: Bacteria
Description: partial 16S ribosomal RNA
Rfam family: Bacterial small subunit ribosomal RNA
Source: RNAcentral
GACGAACGCUGGCGGCGUGCUUAACACAUGCAAGUCGAACGGACCUUCGGGUUAGUGGCGAACGGGUGAGAAACACGUGGGUGAUCUGCCCUGCACUUUGGGAUAAGCCUGGGAAACUGGGUCUAAUACCGGAUAGGACUACGCACUGCAUGGUGUGUGGUGGAAAGCUUUUGCGGUGUGGGAUGGGCCCGCGGGCUAUCAGCUUGUUGGUGGGGUGAUGGCCUACCAAGGCGACGACGGGUAGCCGGCCGGAGAGGGUGACCGGCCACACUGGGACUGAGAUACGGCCCAGACUCCUACGGGAGGCAGCAGUGGGGAAUAUUGCACAAUGGGCGCAAGCCUGAUGCAGCGACGCCGCGUGAGGGAUGACGGCCUUCGGGUUGUAAACCUCUUUCGCCAGGGACGAAGCGCAAGUGACGGUACCUGGAGAAGAAGGACCGGCCAACUACGUGCCAGCAGCCGCCGUAA